This is a long non-coding RNA of Gopherus evgoodei (Goodes thornscrub tortoise), 548 nucleotides long. RefSeq lists it as uncharacterized. The record is from RefSeq and is a predicted model, not a curated record. Lineage: Eukaryota; Metazoa; Chordata; Testudines; Testudinidae. The transcript has 3 exons.
UGAUGGAAACCGUGUAUUUGGUGUUUAUUAUUAGUGCUUCAAGCUGAGGGGCAUGGCAGGGUCCCUAGUUCCAGCACCACUGGAGGUAGGUUUACCCUCAUAACAAAUGUUAACUAGAUGCUUAGAGGCCAUUGUGGGCAGGGGAGUUGUAUCUGUCCCAAGAGAGAGACAGCUGAGAUAAGGAACUGUGAUAAAAAGCCCCAGUAAAAACUGUGUCAUUCAGCAAACUUCCUCUGAGAGAGAUCACAAGAGGAUAAAGUAGGUACAGUUUUCUUGCCUUGUUGCAGAAGGCAGUGGCCACCACGAAGCAGCUCCUCUCCCACCUUCUGGUUGACAAGUGUCGGAAUUUGUCUACUUGUCCUCCUUUUGCAACCUGUGAAAACAUCCCCGGAGGCUACCAGUGCACCUGCAAUCAGGGGUUUGCAUCUAGUUCUGGGGAGGAACACUUCUCUGAUCCUACAGUAAAGUGUGGAACUGAUGACAAUCCAGAAGGAAAAACCUGGGUGUUAAUUAGCUAUGCAAAAUGUCAUGAGGCUUUGAAACUGGAU